Molecule: ribosomal RNA, 620 nt
Filed under: uncultured bacterium
Lineage: Bacteria
Description: bacterial SSU rRNA
Rfam family: Bacterial small subunit ribosomal RNA
Source: RNAcentral
AAACUUCGGAAGGAUGGGAAGAAUAAUUUUAGGAUAAUACCUUAGAAGAUGACGGUACCAUCUUUAAGCCCCGGCUAACUACGUGCCAGCAGCCGCGGUAAUACGUAGGGGGCAAGCGUUGUUCGGAUUUACUGGGCGUAAAGGGCGCGUAGGCGGCGUGGUAAGUCACUUGUGAAAUCUCCGGGCUCAACUCGGAACGGUCAAGUGAUACUGCUGUGCUAGAGUGCGGAAGGGGCUACUGGAAUUCUCGGUGUAGCGGUGAAAUGCGUAGAUAUCGAGAGGAACACCUGAGGCGAAGGCGGGUAGCUGGGCCGACACUGACGCUGAUGCGCGAAAGCUAGGGAAGCGAACGGGAUUAGAUACCCCGGUAGUCCUAGCCUUAAACGAUGGAUGCUUGGUGUCUGAGGUUUUAUAUUCCUCGGGUGCCGUCGCUAACGCAUUAAGCAUCCCGCCUGGGGAGUACGGUCGCAAGACUGAAACUCAAAGGAAUUGACGGGGACCCGCACAAGCGGUGGAGCAUGUGGUUUAAUUCGACGCAACGCGAAGAACCUUACCUGGACUAGAAUGCCUCGGACAGUCCCGUAAUGGGGAUCUCUUGGGUAACACCAAGCCGAGUGCAA